Thalassophryne amazonica is the source of this 108-nucleotide long non-coding RNA. RefSeq lists it as uncharacterized. The record is from RefSeq and is a predicted model, not a curated record. The transcript is spliced from 4 exons. Lineage: Eukaryota; Metazoa; Chordata; Actinopteri; Batrachoidiformes; Batrachoididae.
UCCUUUUACAUGACCACUUAAUCACAUAAGGGCCAAUAAUCAGAUAGCAACCAGAUUUUUAUGUGCAUGUAAACGGGGCCAGUUGAUUUUGCUGGGUACCAGCAUCCA